CCUACGGGUGGCUGCAGUGAGGAAUAUUGGUCAAUGGGCGCGAGCCUGAACCAGCCAAGUAGCGUGAAGGAUGACUGCCCUACGGGUUGGAAACUUCUUUUAUAAAGGAAUAAAGUGAGGCACGUGUGCCUUUUUGUAUGUACUUUAUGAAUAAGGAUCGGCUAACUCCGUGCCAGCAGCCGCGGUAAUACGGAGGAACCGAGCGUUAUCCGGAUUUAUUGGGGUUAAAGGGAGCGUAGAUGGGUUGUUAAGUCAGUUGUGCUAGUUUGCGGCUCAACCGUAAAAUUGCAAUUGAUACUGGCAGUCUUGAGUACAUUUGCGGUAGGCGUAAUUCGUGUUGUAGCGGUGCAAUGCUUAGCUCUCAC
This 365-nucleotide ribosomal RNA is filed under the name uncultured bacterium. Its description in RNAcentral is "partial 16S ribosomal RNA". It matches the Rfam family "Bacterial small subunit ribosomal RNA", at positions 338 to 700 of the family's 1533-position model. The record is from RNAcentral.